AACCUCAGAUCUGUGCCGAGGCCUUCUGCCUGUGCUGGGGGUUGGGGCGGGGGCGGUUCUCUCCUGGGAAGUAAUGGAGAGGGGUCAGAGGUGUUGAACUGAAAUUUUAGAUUGUUUAGAACAAAAGAAGGGCAAAGGAGAACUUGUACUCCUAAUUUUUUGUUUUUUUUGUUUUACUGUGGUAGAACUCAGGAUACAUUUUUAGACUGGUCUGUGGUAGGGUCUUUCCAAGAAAAGUGAAGAACGAAACCAUGGCUGACAGGAAGAACGUUUAAUGAGACAGUGGUUUUCAUCCUUUUUACUCGGUCAAAAUAAUUCAUCAUAUAAUAAAAGAGAAUAAUCAUAUAAUUAUCUCAAAUGCAAUAAGAACAAGCAUCUGACAAAAUUCAACAGGCUUUCUUCAAAUAACACUAGGAAUACUGAGAAUAGAAAGGAACAGUCUUGAUCUGAUAAAGAAUGUCUAUAAGAAACCUGUAGGUAGUUUCAUCAUUAAUACCGAAACACUUUGCUUUUUUUUUUUUUCUAAGAUGGGGAACAAGAUAAGGAUGUUAUCUUUCAUCUGGGACAAUCCUGUUGUAAUAAGCAAAGAAAUAAAAAUAGAAGACAAACAGAUUGGAAAUGAAGAGAUAAAACUACUGUUUUUGACAGAGGGUCGAUUUCAUGAUCACCCUUUGAAAUUCACAAAAGAGUUAUUGGAAAUAAUAGGUGAGUUCAGCAAAACCAUGGAAUAAAACGCCAAUAUACAAACUCAAGUGUAAUUCUAUAUACUAGUAAUGGAAAUUUGAAAAAUGAAACUUGUUAAUAAUACCACGUAUAAUACCAUAAAAAUUAAAUACCAGGGUAUAAGUCCCUUGAAACAUGUACAAAUUGUCUACAAUGGAAUCUACAAAAUACUGCCAAGAAAAAUGAAAGACCUAAAAAUUGGAAGAUUGGAAAGACCUAAAAAUUGUUAAGAUAUCUAUUCUGCACAAACUGUGGAGUUUAUAUAGUCUAUACAUUUUUGACUCUAUACAUUAUAGAGUCUAUAUAUUUCAGGCAAUCCAAAUCCUAGGAGGAAUUUUCAAAGAAAUCGAGAAACUGUUUCUAAAAUUUAUGUGAAAAUGCAAAUGAUCUAGAAUAGUUAGAACAAUCUUGGGGAAAAAAGAACAAAGACUUACACUGAUUUGAAGGUUUACAAUAAGGCAAUACUAAUCUUAACUGUGAUAUUUGCAUGAACAUAUAAACAGAAAAUAAUAGAGAGUAGAGUAAUAGACCCACACAUUUACAGCCUAUUGAUUUUUGACCAAGGCACCAUGUCAGUUCAAUGGAGAAAGAAAAUUUUUUCACAAGUGUUGCUGAAAAAAUUGGGCAUCUCUGUGGGGGAAAAAAUGAAGCUUAACCCUCCCCUCAGCCUAUAUACAAAUAUUAAUUCACAGUGGACAAUGUGAUCAUAGUGAACAUAAAAGCUGGAACCAUAAAUACUUCAUGAAGAUCCAUAGGAGAAUAUCUCCAUGAUGUUGAGAUAAAAACAAACAAACAAACAAACAAAAACAAACACAAACAAAAACUUAGGACACAUAAAACACUAACCUUAUAAGAAAAAUUGAUCAGUUGGGUGUUAUCAAAAUUAAAAAUGUCUGCUAAUCAAUGAUUUCAUUUUAAAAAAAGGAAGAGAUAAGGAGUGAGACAGAGAGAGCUGAUGAAAUUGGGAGGAUGGCCAAGGAAGCAGUUGGGUGUUAAAGAGGAACCAACAGGAGAAGGAUGCCGGCCAUGAUCUGAGAGCCUUUCCCAAAGCAAGCGGAGCAGGGUAUGCUUGCUGGUUUUCCUAGAUGAGAAGUGAAGAAACUCACCAAUAACAUUCAGUGCUGCCAGUAGUAUUGCAUUUAACAUGAAAAAAAUCGUUGAACGCCUGGUGUGUGCCAGGAAUUGAUUCCAUACCCCUUCCUCAUCCUUAGCCCUUCUGUGUCCUUGCCUCCACCCACUUUGCUCACAGUUUGGAGGAAGCUCCACUCACACUCCCCUCUCACCUUCCAUGGGAACUAAAAAGGUGAACAAUUCUGGUUUCACCAAUCAGACAUUAUAAGGUGGGGCUUCUUUUUACUAUAGAUUGGAAUUUCUUUUUAACUUCUUUCUUCCAAACCUUCCUCCUUUUACCAAAUUCUCUUCAUCUCUCUGUAAGUCACCUUGUUGGUAAAACUAUAUUUUGCUCGACCCAGCUACAAUCCCAGCAUUUAAUCAUUCAAGAGUGCUCUCCAUUACUACUCCUUGUACUUGAGACUUCCUCUGCCCAGAACUGAAAGCGUGAGGGCUGCCCUCCUGCUUGGGACAGGCAUUCAGGCAUCCCUUACUGAGCCCUUGGUUCUGGACUCAAGAAUUCUGCAUCUGAAGAGGGAUGAGGGAUGCAGAGUGUCUCAGAAGAUGAUAAGGGUAGACACAGAUGAUUAAAACACAAGGUAUUCUACUGUUCUACAGAAAGGUUGACAAAUGACAUGGAAAUACAGAAGAAGAAGGCGUUCCAGACUUCUCUCGACUGCUAUGCUGCACACAGAAAUGGUUUCUUUGGACCUCAUUAGAUGGAGGCUCUGGUGGUGCCCAUGGUAGUAAGGAGGGCGGGAUGGGGAAUGCUAUUUGAACUCAGUGUUGAGAGAUGAGAAGGAGGAACAACAUGGACAAAAGCAGGAAAGAAUGUGGAAAUGCUGCCAAUCGGUGUAACAAUUGUGAGGUGGUCGGUGUGGAAGGGACUCCAAGGCAGCUGGGGUUAAUAGCUUCAGAUGGGCCAGAAUGUAGGUGAAGACUAGUUCAUGAAGGGACUUGUUUUAUGGACCAAGAACUUGAGUUAUAUCUAAUUUCUAGUGGGAAACUAGUGAAGGCAGAGAUGGGCAGAGUCAUAAAGCCUUGGUUCUCAUCCUUCUAUCACUCAUUAUCCAUAACCUUGGGCACAUCAUUGAUCCUACCUGAGCCCAAGUAUCCACAAGCAUAAAUUGGAAACCAUAUCUACCUCCUGGAGAGAAGUAAGAAUGAAAUAAGAUAGUCUGAACUGCAGUACAAAUGUAAGUGCUGGGUAUUCCUAAUAUUAACAAGUGCCCGGUGGAUGUUUCUACAUGUAACAUUUCAUUUAAUCCCCAAGAUCCAUCGUGUUAACUGCAUGACCCAUACUUGGAGAAUCCAGACCAAGCGUCAUAUGGAAGGAUUCUCCAGGUAACAUUUACAGCAGUCUUCAAGUUUUCUUACCAAUUUCCACUUCUUUUAUUUCAUUUUGUGGAGGGGCUAUAAUUACUGGAAACAAAGAAAAGCCUUCUUCAUCUUAAAUCAAAGACAAAGAAAAUAUAAAUAUUAGGAUAGCAUUGGAUGGUCAUCAGUAUAAAGCUUGUGUUUUCAUAUUACUAUCUUAUAUCAUAGCAAUGUUUUUCAAAUUUUUCUGACGAUGACCCAUGGCAACAAAUACACACACACACAGACACACAGAGACACACAGACACACACACACACACACACACACACAUGAAAAAGAAAACAUUCAAGUAAUACUUUCUCUUAUGACUUAUGAUACUCUUUUAUAUUUCCUAUUCUCUUUUAUAUCAUUAAAACAAAUAGUAAUUAAUUAAUCUAACACGUUAAAUUAAUUACAUGGGUUGGCAAUUGCUAGAAAACUACAAUUCUACAGAAGAAGCACAACAUUACAGGAAAGAAGCUUUCAAAAGUUGCAUGAAAUGCUAGCAUAUAUAAGGUAUUGAAUAAAUGCUUGUUGAAUGAAAAAAAAAAGGCCUAUGAAAAAGAUAAGCAUGUAAGUCCACACUUCUGCUCAGAGAUUUCCACCACUGUGGUCCAUUCUGUAAGGAAAUUCUAACUUCUGUGGCACUGAUGCCUCGAGUCGGGGAAGGGGAGUCUUUUGAAAUACUGCUACUUUCUGACGUUCCUUGAUUCUCAUUUAUUUCAGGAUCGUGUGAUUAAGGGCCCCCAUGAUCUGGUGUGUAAUAGUGAGAGACACUAAUAAUGUGGUCUGAUGGUGCUUAUUUUAUAUGAUAGAGCAUCACAAACCUCCAAACCUUGUCUUCACGAUUGCUUUCCACUAAGAAAGCUUCCACACUGACUGGUGCUACUUCAUCCUAUAUCUGUGGAUCAAGUGAUGCUAAAGAGACCGUGACUCCUUAUAGAUUUGACAUCCUUGACCGUGAGGGAUUUCCUCUGAAUAGACUUUUAUAGACUUAAACAUUUGAAAACCAGCUUUUAGGAUCAAAUUAGCUGCUUGAGGUCAUUGAUAAUGUUGGACAAAUUGCAAACCAGGAUUAUGUGAAAUGGAAUGGCAUCACUUAUGUCAAGGGGUUUUGAAAUGGAGCCAGGAGGCCAUUAAGGAGAUGGGCCCAUGUCCUCACUGGUGGAAUCAUGAACGUGUAACCUGACUAAACCACAAAUAUUCCAAGAUGAAGCCCAAACAUCUGCAAGUUGGUACAAUAAAAGACUUUGCUUGUGUGAUAGCCUUAGGAACCAAUGAUAUUCAGUGAAGAUCAGCCUUCUGCUGCCAACAUGCAUCAAAAUUCUUUGUAAACAAUGUAUAACAGGCAUUCCCUCUUUGCUUUAAAAACCCCAGACUUUAUGGGGCACCUGAGUGGCUCAGUGGGGUAAGCUUUGGGUCAUGAUCUCACGGUUCGUGAG
This is a long non-coding RNA of Lynx canadensis (Canada lynx), 4632 nucleotides long. RefSeq lists it as uncharacterized. The transcript has 3 exons. The record is from RefSeq and is a predicted model, not a curated record. Lineage: Eukaryota; Metazoa; Chordata; Mammalia; Carnivora; Felidae.